Molecule: ribosomal RNA, 497 nt
Filed under: uncultured bacterium
Lineage: Bacteria
Description: partial 16S ribosomal RNA
Rfam family: Bacterial small subunit ribosomal RNA
Source: RNAcentral
GAUGAACGCUGGCGGCGUGCCUAAUACAUGCAAGUCGAGCGAACAGACGAGGAGCUUGCUCCUUUGACGUUAGCGGCGGACGGGUGGCUAACACGUGGAUAACCUACCUAUAAGACUGGGAUAACUUCGGGAAACCGGAGCUAAUACGGGAUAACAUGUUGAACCGAAUGGUUCAACGGUGAAAGACGGUCUUGCUGUAACUUAUAGAUGGAUCCGCGCCGCAUUAGCUAGUUGGUAAGGUAACGGCUUACCAAGGCAACGAUGCGUAGCCGACCUGAGAGGGUGAUCGGCCACACUGGAACUGAGACACGGUCCAGACUCCUACGGGAGGCAGCAGUAGGGAAUCUUCCGCAAAGGGCGAAAGCCUGACGGAGCAACGCCGCGUGAGUGAAGAAGGUCUUCGGAUCGUAAAACUCUGUUAUUAGGGAAGAACAAAUGUGUAAGUAACUAUGCACGUCUUGACGGUACCUAAUCAGAAAGCCACGGCUAACUACGUG